UUACGGGAGGCAGCAGUGGGGAAUAUUGGACAAUGGGCGCAAGCCUGAUCCAGCAAUGCCGCGUGGGUGAAGAAGGUCUUCGGAUUGUAAAGCCCUUUCGGCGGGGACGAUGAUGACGGUACCCGCAGAAGAAGCCCCGGCUAACUUCGUGCCAGCAGCCGCGGUAAUACGAAGGGGGCUAGCGUUGCUCGGAAUUACUGGGCGUAAAGGGCGCGUAGGCGGCGCUGCAAGUCAGGCGUGAAAUUCCUGGGCUUAACCUGGGGGCUGCGCUUGAGACUGUGGUGCUAGAGGUCAGAAGAGGGUCGUGGAAUUCCCAGUGUAGAGGUGAAAUUCGUAGAUAUUGGGAAGAACACCGGUGGCGAAGGCGGCGACCUGGUCUGAUACUGACGCUGAGGCGCGACAGCGUGGGGAGCAAACAGGAUUAGAUACCCCGGUAGC
RNAcentral lists this ribosomal RNA (438 nucleotides) under uncultured bacterium. Its description in RNAcentral is "bacterial SSU rRNA". It matches the Rfam family "Bacterial small subunit ribosomal RNA", at positions 339 to 794 of the family's 1533-position model. The record is from RNAcentral.